CAGCCGCCGCGGGAAUACCGAGGGUGCGAGCGUUAAUCGGAUUUACUGGGCGUAAAGCGUGCGUAGGCGGCUAAUUGAGUCGGAUGUGAAAUCCCCGAGCUUAACUUGGGAAUUGCAUUCGAUACUGGUUAGCUAGAGUGUGGGAGAGGAUGGUAGAAUUCCAGGUGUAGCGGUGAAAUGCGUAGAGAUCUGGAGGAAUACCGAUGGCGAAGGCAGCCAUCUGGCCUAAUACUGACGCUGAGGUACGAAAGCAUGGGGAGCAAACAGGAUUAGAUACCCCUGUAGUCCCUGUCUCUUAUAC
RNAcentral lists this ribosomal RNA (301 nucleotides) under uncultured bacterium. Its description in RNAcentral is "partial 16S ribosomal RNA". It matches the Rfam family "Bacterial small subunit ribosomal RNA", at positions 509 to 807 of the family's 1533-position model. The record is from RNAcentral.